ACGUUGGUGAUUCAGUGGUAGAAUUGCCAACUUCCAUGCGGAAGACCCAGGUUCGAUUCCUAACCCAUGUA
This 71-nucleotide transfer RNA is filed under the name Loxodonta africana (African savanna elephant). It matches the Rfam family "tRNA". Rfam says of the family: Transfer RNA (tRNA) molecules are approximately 80 nucleotides in length. Their secondary structure includes four short double-helical elements and three loops (D, anti-codon, and T loops). Further hydrogen bonds mediate the characteristic L-shaped molecular structure. tRNAs have two regions of fundamental functional importance: the anti-codon, which is responsible for specific mRNA codon recognition, and the 3' end, to which the tRNAs corresponding amino acid is attached (by aminoacyl-tRNA synthetases). tRNAs cope with the degeneracy of the genetic code in two manners: having more than one tRNA (with a specific anti-codon) for a particular amino acid; and 'wobble' base-pairing, i.e. permitting non-standard base-pairing at the 3rd anti-codon position. The record is from Rfam by way of RNAcentral. Lineage: Eukaryota; Metazoa; Chordata; Mammalia; Proboscidea; Elephantidae.